This 253-nucleotide ribosomal RNA is filed under the name uncultured bacterium. RNAcentral describes it as "partial 16S ribosomal RNA". It matches the Rfam family "Bacterial small subunit ribosomal RNA", at positions 524 to 776 of the family's 1533-position model. The record is from RNAcentral.
UACGUAGGGGGCGAGCGUUGUCCGGAAUCAUUGGGCGUAAAGCGCGUGUAGGCGGCUCGUUAAGUCCGGUGUGAAACCUUGGGGCUCAACCCCAAGCCUGCACUGGAUACUGACGAGCUCGAGUCCGGGAGGGGAGAGCGGAAUUCCUAGUGUAGCGGUGAAAUGCGCAGAUAUUAGGAAGAACACCAGUGGCGAAGGCAGCUUACUACGGAUCGAUUGACACUGAGGCACGAAAGCGUGGGGAUCAAACAGG